Molecule: ribosomal RNA, 455 nt
Filed under: uncultured bacterium
Lineage: Bacteria
Description: bacterial SSU rRNA
Rfam family: Bacterial small subunit ribosomal RNA
Source: RNAcentral
UACGGGAGGCAGCAGUGGGGAAUAUUGCACAAUGGGCGCAAGCCUGAUGCAGCCAUGCCGCGUGUAUGAAGAAGGCCUUCGGGUUGUAAAGUACUUUCAGUCGUGAGGAAGGUGUUAAGGUUAAUAACCUUAGCAAUUGACGUUAGCGACAGAAGAAGCACCGGCUAACUCCGUGCCAGCAGCCGCGGUAAUACGGAGGGUGCGAGCGUUAAUCGGAAUUACUGGGCGUAAAGGGCACGCAGGCGGUUAAUUAAGUUGGAUGUGAAAUCCCCGGGCUUAAACCUGGGAAUGGCAUUCAAGACUGGUUAGCUAGAGUCUUGUAGAGGGGGUAGAAUUCCAUGUGUAGCGGUGAAAUGCGUAGAGAUGUGGAGGAAUACCGGUGGCGAAGGCGGCCCCUGGACAAAAGACUGACGCUCAUGUGCGAAAGCGUGGGGAGCAAACAGGGAUUAGAUACC